AGCCAUAUCACGUUGAAACACUAGUUCCCGUACGAUCACUGAAAUUAAGCAAUGUCGAGCCUAUUCGGUACUUAGAUGGGUGACCGCUUGGGAAUAGCAGGUGCUGUAAG
This is a non-coding RNA of Acanthosepion pharaonis, 110 nucleotides long. Lineage: Eukaryota; Metazoa; Mollusca; Cephalopoda; Sepiida; Sepiidae. The record is from the annotation of a GenBank genome assembly.